UUGACAGAACGUUUUCCCUCUUACAGUAUAUGUUUGUGUUCUUCAGGGUAGCUGUGUUUGUUACUAAUAAGAGAAUAGUCAUCCCACUGAGAAACACAGGAAAACAGCCAUCACACCAAGUCCAGCGGCUUUUUGUAAUAGUGCAAUCCACUGCAUGCGCUGUGUACAGCACUUAGUGAAAGGAAUGUUGGGCUGGAUGCUCCGAUCAGUAGUGCUGAGACAAGAGCCUGCGCAGCCAAUACAGGAUAGUUUACACAGCUGUCAGGUUAGGACUUCAGCUGAUGGAGAGGAAGUGUUUUUCCUCCUGCUUAGGUCAAGAGAGCUUAUACACAACAUAACACUCCUACAGCUCUCUUAUUCUCUUAAAUUCCUUCUUUUAUCAGAGGAGGACAGAGUAAAUAUACUGCAAAAUUACUGCUUGUAAUUUAUAUAUGAUAUAAAUAUAAAGAAAAAUUCUAUGAGAUGUGACUGCAGAUGAAGGAAAAAAAAUAAUUUCUUUUAUGUUUUCACUCUUCUGAAGAAACGGUGAAGAGGUCUGGAAGAAAUAUGGUCUGUGCUGCUCUUGUCCAAUAAGAAAGGGUAGUUUUUACUGAAACUGUAAAGUUACAGUGAGAAGGUGUGUGCUUUUUUUAAUAAAGAAAACUAUUGAUUCUUAACAAAUGCGUGAUUUUUGGAAUAUCUGGUUACUUUUUGAACUCCAAUUGCAUUUAGUAAAGCCUAGUAAAGUACACAAGGUAGGACUUUAUCCAAAUGUUGUGGUCUUGUGUUUGACCUAGACCGGAGGCUCAUGGCUGCAACCCAAGCAAGAGUGUUUGGGAGUAACGCUGCAGGGAGAAGUUGGUGUGGCCUGUGAUCCGGCAACAGGGAAGGGCGUUUCGGUUUUAUCUCCACCAGCAUCAGAAUGGAGAAGCCCAUGUGUAUCAGUGGAGUUGAGAGAGGAAGCGUGAAAGAAAUGCUGCAACCUAAGCAAGCAGAGCAAAUGAAUGUUGCAAUGGUAUGGAGGUGUUUGAGAACCAUUAAUUGCAAAAUUCAAGAAUCACAACUGAAUAGCAGAAUUCAGGACUCCGCAUCCUUGGAAGGCUGUAACUAGCUGAUACCCACAGAAGAGUAACUUGCAUAUUUGUGAACAAACCCUACUGUUGUCAUUCUAUUGAUUUAUUUUUAAUCUUUUUUUCUGAAACGUGCUGCAAGAAAUUGUAGAGAGUGUCUCACGUGGAAUUUUGUGGUUUCACAAUGAAAAAAGGGAAAGCAGUAACAUAGGGGAAAACAUUGUCAAUUAAAAGAAAAUGGAAGAUUCGAAACUUCUACGUAAUUCAUCUGCAUUGUCAUUAAACUCCUCCACAAAAGAAAAAAGUGGGCAGCUUAUGGAAAAGUAAUUUUUACUCAGAAACUUCUAAGCAUGAUGCAAUAUUGUCUUGGUCAAAGAUUGAACUAACUGAUUGAACUGCAAAAAUUUCUGGGGGAUAAAAAUCAGUCAAUGCUGAGACAUAAACUCCUACUACAAAGAUCCUGCUCAUAUGAAAUGUUUAAUGUGUCAUCCUCAUUCCUUGAGCAUAAACCUGCUCGAAUAUGAUGAAUAGCUGCAGCUUCUCAACCACCUGUAUAGACUGGAUAAAACUUUGUUUCAAGUAUUUAUAAGCUGCAGCCUUCCAGGUUAGUACUUAGUUCCUUUAGUUCUGAAGUUGUUUGGUAGAGGAAUAAAUGCUUUUCCUUCCAAUCCAUUAAGGAGAUUAUUUUUCAUUAGUCUGAAAUUGCUUCACUCCUUUAAUCAUUGGAAGCUUUAUUGCUAAGCCCUUGCACGAAAGAAAUACUAAGUCUGAAAAGUUUCUUUCAACAUUACUGCCUGCAAAUGAAUAGUAACUUUAUUUAAAUGAGAAGCAGCACUUUUCUCUUUAUAUUAUGAAGUGCAGUAU
Cygnus olor (mute swan) is the source of this 1913-nucleotide long non-coding RNA. RefSeq lists it as uncharacterized. The record is from RefSeq and is a predicted model, not a curated record. The transcript has 5 exons. Lineage: Eukaryota; Metazoa; Chordata; Aves; Anseriformes; Anatidae.